UGUUUUCUUCAGCUGCCAUCGAUCAGCUUACCAAAUAUCUUGCUUGUGAAUGGGCAAAAGACAAUAUAAGGAGCAACAGUGUUGCACCUUGGUAUACCCUAACAUCACUUGAGGAACCUGUAAUUCUCUUUCAACUUGUUUUGUUUCCUGUUCCAAGGACUAGUCAUUUCCUUGUUAUGAAGAUUGGUUAAUUAUGUUGACGGAGUAAAAUUGAGUUGAAUGAGAAUUGAGAAGUUAACUGAUCAGUCAUUAUUAAAUUCUAUGCAGAUUUUGUUGGUCCUGUCACCACCUUCAUCUCUCUAGUCUUCAUACAAUGUUCUAAAAUAUCAAUGCAUAAUAUGUGCUUUCAAGUUCUUAAAUUCAUGCUCCUUUUAAGUUUUAAGGAUUACUAUUCAGCAUUUUAGGAGUAUUCUGAUAAAAAAGAGUGUCUGAAUAUCAAUCUUUUAGAUUAUUGAAUUGGGAAAUCUAAUUAGCCUGCAUAUUGGGAUGCCUCAUUGAGUUGGAUACCUAUAGACCCAACCCAAGACAGUUGUUGGGUUGAUAUUAGGAAUUGAUGAGGGCCCAAUGCAAUCAUCAUGGCGCAAGUGUGCAUGUUGGAGAUCAUACAUUAACUAGAGAUAUGACCAAAAUAGUGUAUAUAAGCGGGGAACAAUUCUCAUCUCUUGAGCUAGAUUUUGGAGUUGAGUCAGGCUUAAACCCAAAUUUUAACAUAGUAUUAGAGUCUAUCCUAACACUUGUUAUUAGAUCUAUCAAACCACCUGUAAUGUCAAGUCCUGGUGUUAAAUUAGGCCCAAAUUCUAAGAGUACAGUGUGUAUUUGUGUAUGCUGGUUUUUUGCUAAUAAUUCAUAGCCUUGCCCUUACCUUUUUUUAAGUGCAUAUGAAUUAUACUUGUACAUAUUAUGCAUGUUAGCAUGAUUAUCAGUAUAACUAAUCUUCAAAUGACAACAUUAUCAUCUUAACUUGGGAGUGCUAAUUGUACCUUUUUUCUAACAGUUGCUUGCAAACAAACAGCUUGUUAAUGAGAUAACAUCUCAAACGCCGAUAAAGCGGAUGGCAGAAACGCAUGAAGUUUCAUCCUUGGUGACUUUCCUUUGUCUGCCAGCAGCAUCCUACAUCACUGGAC
This 1124-nucleotide long non-coding RNA is filed under the name Glycine max (soybean). RNAcentral's name for it is "long non-coding RNA (GMAX_LNC004035)". The record is from RNAcentral. Lineage: Eukaryota; Viridiplantae; Streptophyta; Magnoliopsida; Fabales; Fabaceae.